Fundulus heteroclitus (mummichog) is the source of this 480-nucleotide long non-coding RNA. RefSeq lists it as uncharacterized. The record is from RefSeq and is a predicted model, not a curated record. NCBI's taxonomy places the organism in Eukaryota, Metazoa, Chordata, Actinopteri, Cyprinodontiformes, Fundulidae. The transcript is spliced from 5 exons.
CCACAGUUUAAUAACUUAAAGUCUCUAAAUCUCAGCCACACCUUGGAACAAGUAGAUGAAAAAUGUAAUCACAGUUUAGCAACACUUCUGCGUCUGUAAGGGUAUAAAAGAGAACUUCAACAUCCACAGAGCAUCACUACAGCCUCUUCACUCGUCUCUCAGAAAACCUACUGAAGGUAAAAUCUCUGUAACCAUGCUGAAGGUAGCACUUGUUCUUGGAUGCCUCCUGAGCCUCAUUGUGGCUGAACCUAUGGAGCACCAGCGCUUUGCCCGCUCUGAUUCUAACUCUAAUUCUAACUCAGCUGAGUCAACCACCACGACUACGACCACAGCAGCAGGAGCAACGGCUGCACCGUCACUGGCCCAGAUCCUUGCCCUUAUUCAACAACUGCUCGCUGGUUUGUGAUCAAAUUCCCAGCCUGCUGUUUUAACCAGAAUGCUUUGACUCACCAAUUGGAGACAUGUUAUCCUGACCCUCUG